UCCGGUUUGUCACCGGCAGUCUCCUUAGAGUUCCCGGCAUUACCCGCUGGCAAAUAAGGACAAGGGUUGCGCUCGUUACGGGACUUAACCCAACAUCUCACGACACGAGCUGACGACAGCCAUGCAGCACCUGUCACUCGGUUCCCGAAGGCACCAAGGCAUCUCUGCCAAGUUCCGAGGAUGUCAAGGGGUGGUAAGGUUCUUCGCGUUGCAUCGAAUUAAACAACAUGCUCCACCGCUUGUGCGGGCCCCCGUCAAUUCAUUUGAGUUUUAGCCUUGCGGCCGUACUCCCCAGGCGGAGAACUUAUCGCGUUAGCUACGCCACUAAACCCUCAAGGGGUCCAACGGCUAGUUCUCAUCGUUUACGGCGUGGACUAC
Molecule: unclassified non-coding RNA, 378 nt
Filed under: uncultured Gammaproteobacteria bacterium
Lineage: Bacteria; Pseudomonadati; Pseudomonadota; Gammaproteobacteria
Description: contains 16S-23S intergenic spacer region
Source: RNAcentral